This 698-nucleotide long non-coding RNA is filed under the name Ananas comosus (pineapple). RNAcentral describes it as "long non-coding RNA (ACOM_LNC008924)". Lineage: Eukaryota; Viridiplantae; Streptophyta; Magnoliopsida; Poales; Bromeliaceae. The record is from RNAcentral.
UUGCCUAGUUGUAAACCUAAGGCUUGAAAUGAGCUUCUUGAACCCUCUCAUGGUAGAUCUUUAGAGCCUUAAUUAUAUGCUCUAAGAAUAGAUUUAGAGAAAUCCUAGGAUGCUAAAUAGAUGGUUGAUGCAUGAUUCAUGAAGUUAAAUAAUGGAUUUUGCUAUACUUAAAUCUAGGGCUCAAAAAUGCUAGUUUUGUGAAUAUAAGGGUUUGAUCUCAUUUGACCCUCUGUAAACCUAAUUGCUAGGUAAACGAACGCGUUAGUGAAGUCGGUUCGGCGAUUCGUCGAGCCGUUGUAAAGUUAUUAAAGAAACGGACGUUUAGGCUUCAUUUCCGCCUGGAGGGCCGAGGCGACAUCGUAAAGUCAUGAAAAUGGAUUUGGAGCACCGUGGCGCAUAACCGAAGACCUAUAAUUUUCAAUGCCGCGAUUCGACGCACAGUUGGUGAGUAUUAGCAAAAUCGGACCGAAUCGGGUUACGGGUGCCGCGGGAGGCGGAUUGCAAGUGUCGACAAGCAAUCGGAAAGCGAUUUGAGGUGGGUUGUGUUUACCGAAGCGACUAGGUCGCCUGUAUGUCUAAGAUAAAUGUUCAUCAUUGAUGCAUGUAGUGGUAGUUAUUGAUAUAGCAUAAGUAUGCAUGAGAAGAAAGCUAAAUGAGCUACCAAACGAUGCAUGAUGACUUAGUGUAAAUAGUGCUAG